GGGAGCCCCGGCGUGCGGCGGGACUGCCGCCUGCCUCCUCCUCCUCCUCCUCCUCCUCGGGGUGCCGGGGGCGGCCAGACGCCGCGCCGAGAGCCUCUCCUCCCCCAUUGUUCCCGGUCUCUUUUCUUUUUUCUUUCUUUUUUUUUUUUUUUUUUUUUUUUUGCCUUUUGUUAUUGGCACUCGCAUUGUGUUGUUUGUCUCUGAAGCCGCCUCAUGACCAGCAAAGGGAUUUCACCUCGUCCUUGAGAGAGAGAGAGAGAGAGAAAGAGAGAGAGACACAGAGCGAGGGAAGGGGGGGAAGGAGCGCGGGGGGAAGGAGGGCAGCGCGCGGCCGAGCGCCCGUCCCCCGGUCCCAGCCGCGCCCGGAGGACACUCGGCGGACCGCGGGGAUGUGGGAGUAUCAGCACCUCCUACGUAACGCUCGGCAACGUGCAGAAGUAGACUAGUCUGGUCACUUACGGAGGCCCGUUUAAAACCAGUAGGAUUACUCAGGACGAGUAGAGGCUGAAUUGCGUCUGUCCCAGAAGAACUAUGAAUUAAGUCUCUGCAAUCAAUGACAAUUCUGGCUUCGGAAACGGGCACGAGCUGCUUUUUCCAAGUGACUGAGUUACCACAGUUUAAAAGAUUUUCAAAAGCGAUUGCAACGGCCUGAGAGCAUCCACACAGGAAGUUACAGAUCAGCUGGCACAUGGCAAACCGUGAAGCUGCGCCUUCCUCUUGCUGAUGACCGGGUUCCUGUUUGAUCCUGUUUAUAAGCUUCCGAAGGCUGAAAAUAACCUCAACUCCUCUGCAUCGGAUUGUGUGAUAUCACUUCCUUUGUGAAGUAUUUACUGAGAGAUGCUGCUGCUCCCUAAUCGUGCUCUUCUGUGAUGCUGAAGUUUUACCUCACACUGUGACUCCUUUGUUCUGCAAAGAAUAGAAUUGCCAUCUUGAGGGUAAGAAUUAAUGAACAUCAAUUUACCAACAGUUAAGUUUUUAAUUCAAUUAUUUUCUUUGAGGGAAAUGAGACUGUGGGUACUUGACUUGUAUAUGCAGCUGUAUGUAAAAGUG
This is a long non-coding RNA of Numida meleagris (helmeted guineafowl), 1050 nucleotides long. RefSeq lists it as uncharacterized. NCBI's taxonomy places the organism in Eukaryota, Metazoa, Chordata, Aves, Galliformes, Numididae. The record is from RefSeq and is a predicted model, not a curated record. The transcript is spliced from 5 exons.